UGCUUGAGCGAAGCCUCAGAGGGUGAAGGCCAUCUACAACUGUUCAGCUGAUAAUCCAGACGAGCUGACCUUCAAGGAGGGGGAGGUGAUCGUUGUGGAGGGGGAGGAGGACAGCGAGUGGUGGGUGGGUUACGUUGAGGGCGAGCCGAGCCGGCGCGGGGCCUUCCCCGUCACCUUCGUCCACUUCAUCACCGAGUGACGUCGUCUCCGUCCAACACAACUUUAUUUAAACGCUGACGCCAUGACAUCAGCUGAUCUCUGGAGAAAAGUAUGUGGACACCCGGAGCACAGCCCCAGUAAAUAAAUAAAUAAAUAAAGGGAAGAUUCGUCCACAUACUUUUGCCACAUGCUGUUACCGUUUUGUUUCAGGUCAGACGUGAGAUUUUCAUUCAUUAAACCUGUUGGUGGGAGAUCAGGUUAUUAAAGACACCUCAGAUCGUGUUUUUUAGUCAUUUUACUUCCUUGUUUCUUGUCGUUCUUCUUCCUCUUCAUCUUCUUCUAUUUAUUUAGUUUAUUUUUUCCCUCCAGGCUCCAAACUGAUGCUGUCUAACGAAAACUUUUUCUGUCAGUCGACCAGUAUUUCUUCAUCCUUCUCUCCUGCUUUCAGCUGUUUUUACUUUAUUUUAUGUUUUGUUUCAUUUUAUUUUGUUCAUGUAUCAGGAUGAAUUCAGACGAUGCUUCAAAUGAGAAGAUAAAAAAAAUCCAACAACGUUUAAUAAAUAAAUGAAUAAAUGACUUUUCUUUUUCUUUCUUUUUGUGAUUGAAAACUAAAAAUAAUAAAAACCAGUAAUAAAAUGAAACGUGUCACAGAAUCAGUGUUUAAUUUAUAAAAUGUGUUCAUGACAAAAAUAUUCAUAUGAAAAAUAAAAUACUCAAACGACACGUCA
Molecule: long non-coding RNA, 887 nt
Organism: Mugil cephalus (flathead mullet)
Lineage: Eukaryota; Metazoa; Chordata; Actinopteri; Mugiliformes; Mugilidae
Exons: 2
Source: RefSeq, a predicted model, not a curated record